This is a long non-coding RNA of Gallus gallus (chicken), 5066 nucleotides long. RefSeq lists it as uncharacterized. The record is from RefSeq and is a predicted model, not a curated record. Lineage: Eukaryota; Metazoa; Chordata; Aves; Galliformes; Phasianidae. The transcript has 3 exons.
AAAUAUAUUUAUUGGGUCGGCACACUUGAUUUUAUUUCAUCAGAGAAACAGAUGUAGUAAGCUAAAAAACAAAGUGGAAGUGCCCCAGAUGCAGCUUAAAACUGUCAGUGAGGAAACCAGAAGGGUUAAAAACCCUCUGUGUAGCAUCCAUGGAGUGUCUGCAGUGUCACAAACCUCUGCAUUGCCACCAGAUAAUGACCACCUCAGUGACCCUACAAGAAUUUUAUUCCAUUUUGUGCUGCCACUUCUGAGUUUCUGCUCAAUACUCCUGAGCGUUUCACUGUAACUAGAAAAAGUUCAUUUGUUAAGCCGCUCGAUAAGCUCACAAGUAAAAACCAACACAUUAAUUCACAUCCACAAACAGAGCAAGAUACCACUGCCAAGGCAAAGUCAAAAUGGUUACUGCUGAAUUAGGUACUGGUUUCCAAGCUCAGUACAGGAAGCUCAGCAGCGAGCCCUGGCUAAAGAUUCUCCAGCCCUCUUCUGCUCUCUCACUGAAGACCUGUUGAUAGUGGGGGAAUAGUCAUUUCCUCCAGUCACAAACUAUCCUUCCCGGAUCUAACACGUUCUAAAAGUUGCACACAAACUUUUCAGAACUAAUACGUCAUUCACCAAGAACAGGGAAGACUGAAGUCACAACUGUGAACGCGAUCCCCAGCAGCCCCACAGCCACUGCUCAAACCAACUGAAUCCUGUAACCUUCUGCUUACUGUCAAGAGACCGAUCCAUCAGCCAUCUUAUUCUUUUAAAACUGUUCCUUUUUUUCGGCAGCUCUGAUUGCUGCCCACAUCUCCACAGGCUCCAGAAGACUGAAAGUGACUGGAAUGAGACUCCGGGGGACAGGUAACCAAGUGCUCUCCCAGCAGAACGAUACCAAAAGCUCAGCUGCUUCUCAAGGGGGCAUCUAAAAGCUGAACAUCCCUUUGGUACGCCCUCUGCCCUCCCAAGCACAACCAGACCUAUCUGCAAGGGGUUAGGACACCCAUCGUUUCUCACCUCCACAGCAUCACCAAGGAGCUCUGCAGGGACUGCAGAGAAGCCCCUCCAUCUUCACAACCUGUACGUCUACAGGGCAAUUUCAGACAUUUUGGUCUCACAGCAAAGAAAUGGGAGAUGCAAGAAGAAGUGCACUCCAUAUUGAUUCUUGAUGCAAAGAAGCGGGAAUUCAAGGCACCCGGCUUGGAGAGGAGCUCUGCCGUAGCUACAGUGGGAAAGACAAGAAACGGACUAAAUCUCAUCAGCGACUGCCCAAAAGCACAAUGCAGCAAGCAGCUUCGCUUCCAAAAGAAACAGGAGGGCAGAAACACGCGAACACCCUCCUGCGCCGUGGUGAAGCAAAUAGGUUCGGGGCUGGAAGGGAGGGAAGCAUGGAAAGGCCGAGGGCAGGCCCGAGGCAGAGGGAAGGAAGGGGGGAUUUCGGGCAGGAGAGGGGAGAAAUAGGAGAGAAAAGGGAGAGAAAGGAGGCUGAGGCCCGGGCCCCCGAGACUGACCUGUGCCGUCGCUGGCGGACACGGAGAGCGCCGGCGAGGAGAGUUUAGGCCGCUUGGCUGAAGGCGGGCCCGGCUCCACCACAUUCUCGGCCAUUUUUAAUUCUUUUUUAGACAAUCACUCCGAGCAGAGAGACGGCGGGGGGAGCCCCCAAACCCCCACCUCCUGAGGCCGGGCCCUCGGGGGGCUGCGGAGCGGCGAUGCGGAGGGGCGAGGAGCGGCCGAGUUCCCCUUUUUCCGCCCCUGGGAGGAGCGGGGCGAGGUGGGAGCGGAGGGGCUGAGCGAGGCCUCUGCCCGCGGGCGCGGAGCUGCGCGGGGAUGGCAAAAGCCCCCGCCGAAAAGAAUAAUUAAAAAAAAAAUAAAAUAAUUAAAAAAAAAAAAAAAAAAAAAGAGGCUGGUGGUGUUGGUUGGUUGGGUUUUUUGUUGUUGUUGUUGUUUGGGGUUUUGGUUUUUUGUUUUUUUGUUUUUUUUUCCUUCCAGUGAGAUUAAUCCCGGCUGUUGUGCUGCUGGUGCUUCCUCGCCGCCGCCACCAUCAUCAUCUUCAUCCUCCGGGGGCUCUUCUCCUCCUCCUGCUGCUGCCUCCUCACCGCCGCCAUCAGCCUCUUCCUCCUCGGCGCCGUCCUCCUCCUCCUCAUCGCCACCAGGAGGCGGGCGAAGGAGGAGGGGAGAGAAGAAGGAGGAGGAAAAAAGAAAAAACGACCGCCGUCCUCCUCCUCCCGCAGCAGCAGCAGCAGCGCCUUCCCCCUCCGACACCACCCUGCGAAAAAGAACCCACCGGCAGCGAGCGGGCCGGGGGCAGGCGGGCGGCCGGGCGGCCCCAGCUCCAACGCGCGUCUUCCUCUCGGCCGCUCCGCUUAAUGGCUGCAGCAAAGGGAGCUGGAAGGAGGAUGAGGAUAAGUCCCAGGAGUCUCCGCUUCACAUCUUGUUGUGCAGAAGGAGGAGGGGUUGUUGUCCUGAUGGAGGCAGCGCCGAUCGCGGGAUGGGGAGCCGGGGGGCCGGGUUUCGACACCCUCUCUGUCUUCCCCCCCCUUCUCCUUCCCCUCCUCCGCCCUUUUCUCCUCUUCUUUUUCCCCUUCCUCUUUCUCUCGCUCUCAGUAGCGCGCUGCCCCCCCCUCGGGCGCAGGCAGAGGGGCCGAGCCCACAGCAGCGGCAAGAGGAGGAGGAGGAGGAAGGAGCCGGCCCCUCCCCCGCUCUCUGCCUACCUUCCCCCUCCUCCCGGGCGGCCGAGGAUGGCUGCGGGUGCCGGGGCCGGGCGGGGAGGGGGCUGCCCGGCUCCGCUCCGCCACGGGGACUCCCUCUUCGCGAGGGUGGGGAAAGGAAGCGACGAGGGAUGAAAAGAACACUCCGAGGAAAUGCCACCUCCCUCAACACACAGACGGAGACAAAUGCCUGUUUUGCUUUGUGCUGUAGUCGGUGUCUUUUAGGACAUGGAAGAGAAAGAGGGGAUGAAAAGGAUAUUGAGCAGGCUGUGCUCUGGAGAAAUCCACCCUUAUUGUCCAUCAGCACCCACUUGAGAUGCAGCAGAAGAGAUAAGAACAACCAAAGAAGGCACACAGCCAGAAAGUGACACGUUCUCAAAGGCACCACCGAUGUGCUAAAUGAUCUACAGUCAUCCACCCGUGGCAGAUCAGCUGAAAACACAUGUUCCCAUGAUCAGAAAAUCCAGAUAGGCCGUGGCCACGCAGCUCUGCAGUCCCAUUUGAGUUGUGAUACCUGCACUACUAACACGCUCAUAGUUGUGAACGGGCAAACCCUGUGCUGCUGCAGGUCUGAGGGGGUAAAUCCAGCAGGAGAGCAGGCAGUGAUGUGCCUCCAUGUCCGGAUAGAUCCUUUCCAGAAUCAGCUGUUGUUAAUCGCAUUAAAAUGUUAAAAUGCAUUUGAGGUUUCUUCUCCAAGCCAUACUAUUGCACAUGUGGUUGGAGUUCCACAUCAUAGUGCAGCUGGAGCAGCCCUCGGGACUCCCCCACGUGAGCUACGUGCACAGUGCCACCCAGAGCAGUCACAGACCUAUCCUUUCCCCAGAUUUCUGCAGGAGGUAGUGGAAAGGCCAGAAUUGCCAUCUGCUCUAUUUGGAUAUAAUAGAUUCCUCUUACCUUCACUUUGUGCCACUGCUGAAAACUGUGCAGCCACGUGCUUGGGUCACCACAGAGACCGAGCCUUUGCUGUAGGGGAACCAGCAGCAGAGAUGCUUUGACUGGCAGCAGCUGAAAAGCCGCAAAGCAGAGGGAAAUGCCUGCGCUCAUGGUGUCUGUCCAGCCAGGAGAAUACACUCAGGGCAGUGCUAAAGGCGGACAAACCAGGAUGAUGUGACUGGACCCAAAAUAAAGACCUUGAGGAAGUAAAUUCCCUGAUCAGCGAGCAUCCGGGUUCCAGGUCCUGAGAAACCCAACAAUAAAACAAAACGGCCUGCCAAAAGGAGAGACAUCUGACAAUCAGACAGAUGCACGGGGCAUUCAGAGGGGAGUUCACAUUCUGGGGAAUGGUGUUUAACCUGGCUACGACCAUUUUUAUUCCCUAUCACUCUGCUACAUUAAUGCUUAACAUCAGCUAUCUAACCUCCCGUCCUCAACAAGUAGGAAAGAUGUGUUGAUGGAAAGGUAAUGUCAUGAACAACCAACACAAGAAUGUUACUGGAUCUAUCACUGCUGCCAUGAAGCGCCACAGCCUUUGGUAGCAGGAAGAAUUGCUCUGACCUUGUUCAGGCUCCGGGCAUCUGCCGAGGCUGUCAACACAGGAACCAAAUUUUGAUGCAAUGAAGAUACCAUUCGGCACAGCAGGUACCAAAUGAAAUGUGAUGUAGUUUUCAGAGUAACAACAUCUGGACAGUAAGAACUAUGGGUAGGCUUGAACCAAGAUAAUACCAGCAGAAAGUCAGCGCAGAGUGAAUUUGUUCAUACACUGCUCAUUUUUAGCUCUGCAGUCAAUCUUGCAGGUGAAUUUCCCAAGUGUACUUUCACCUGACACAUGGAAGUGUUUUAUGACCACUGAUAAAAUCUAACAUUUAGUUAAUGUCUGCAAAGCUAAAUGCAUGGAACUGUGAACAGGUAAUGAAAUUUUCCUCCGUAGUAGAGCUGGUUUAGUCAAACCAAAGAGCAGAAGCAAUAGAGUAGUUUCUAAUAAUGAUGCUAACCACUAACCGUACAAAUCAUUAUUUCAACCGAGCUGCAAGAAAGCAUGGCCACAAGAAAUGCUACCUGCAUAAACUACACUUAGCUGGGGCCAUGUCCUUUAUCCACUGCACUCCAUGAAGGAGCUUAACGAUGACCUCAGUGAGCCAGAGGUGUGGUUCCAAGUCAGAUGGGAGUCAGACCAAACCCACAUCCAAAACCUGGGCAUGCUGACAAGAAGAGCUGUCCGGCUCAAGAGCUGCCUGGUUUAAGUAUCCAGUCUACAGACAACUCUUUUCAUUCACCGACUUACCGCUCAUGAAAGAAAGACAAAAACUUAGAUGGGGAGCUCCUGCAAGAUUUUAUUCAACGGUACACAAUAGGGCAAAAUUAAGAUUAAAGCAGAACGUAUACAUUACUGAUUUGUCAAGUUGCUAAGACAAAUCCAUACUGACACAAACAACGGAGGCU